UACGUAGGGGGCGAGCGUUGUCCGGAAUCACUGGGCGUAAAGGGCGCGUAGGCGGUUUAAUAAGUCAGUGGUGAAAACUGAGGGCUCAACCCUCAGCCUGCCACUGAUACUGUUAGACUUGAGUAUGGAAGAGGAGAAUGGAAUUCCUAGUGUAGCGGUGAAAUGCGUAGAUAUUAGGAGGAACACCAGUGGCGAAGGCGAUUCUCUGGGCCAAGACUGACGCUGAGGCGCGAAAGCGUG
Molecule: ribosomal RNA, 240 nt
Filed under: uncultured bacterium
Lineage: Bacteria
Description: partial 16S ribosomal RNA
Rfam family: Bacterial small subunit ribosomal RNA
Source: RNAcentral